Molecule: long non-coding RNA, 532 nt
Filed under: Numida meleagris (helmeted guineafowl)
Lineage: Eukaryota; Metazoa; Chordata; Aves; Galliformes; Numididae
Description: lncRNA (ENSNMEG00000017582.1)
Source: RNAcentral
GCCUAAUGCUAGGGAAUUUCAACACAGUAAGCACAUGCUUUGUUAACCUUUCCCUCUUUCUCCAGCAUUUUCUUGGGACUUUUUCUCAUAACAAUACCACGGCAUUUCCUGCUGCAUUGCCUGUGAUAAGAGCAUAUGGAUCUGAGAGAAACGAAGGGGAAGUAAAAGAAAUGCAGUCACUCGCUUGUCACCAGAAAAAAAGGUGGAAGGCACACGUCAGUGACAACAGCACCAUCUUCUGUCUGCAGAGAUUAUGAAGCCUGCAUUCACGCUUGCCCGAGUACUCCAGAGAUGGGGCUGGUUGAGACUCCUCGAUCUACAGCUGGAUCUUGAACUCUUCAUGAGCUUGAGUGUCUGAACAAGUCUGAUUGUAUGUGGGGAAGCGUGGGUGUAUGAAAAGCUACAAAAGCUUCAGCUCUCAUACCACUUAUCCCUGGAGCAACCUUUUCAUCUGCCUUUUAUUAUCCUCCCCACAAAAACUCAGUUGCAAAACUUAGACUACAUUUUCCUUCCCUGUGGCUUGAUAUAUUGC